AGACAUAAAAAUACAGAACUUUGGGCAAUUCAUUUAAACUACAAUACAGAAACAUAUUUCUGCACCCCUCAGAAGCAGUGUAAAGGCUUGGGAGAGUCAGGAGUAAUGGAGGAGCUGAGAGAAAAGGA
Chelonia mydas (Green sea turtle) is the source of this 128-nucleotide long non-coding RNA. RefSeq lists it as uncharacterized. NCBI's taxonomy places the organism in Eukaryota, Metazoa, Chordata, Testudines, Cheloniidae. The record is from RefSeq and is a predicted model, not a curated record. The transcript has 3 exons.